UACGGAGGGUGCGAGCGUUGUCCGGAAUCAUUGGGCGUAAAGGGCGCGUAGGUGGCCACUUCAAGCGUGCGGUGAAAGUCGGGGGCUCAACCCCUGAUCGGCCGUGCGAACUGGGGGGCUGGAGCACUGUAGAGGCAGGCGGAAUUCCGGGUGUAGCGGUGGAAUGCGUAGAGAUCCGGAAGAACACCGGUGGCGAAGGCGGCCUGCUGGGCAGUUUUGCUGACA
This 225-nucleotide ribosomal RNA is filed under the name uncultured bacterium. RNAcentral's name for it is "partial 16S ribosomal RNA". It matches the Rfam family "Bacterial small subunit ribosomal RNA", at positions 524 to 745 of the family's 1533-position model. The record is from RNAcentral.